Molecule: long non-coding RNA, 357 nt
Filed under: Ananas comosus (pineapple)
Lineage: Eukaryota; Viridiplantae; Streptophyta; Magnoliopsida; Poales; Bromeliaceae
Description: long non-coding RNA (ACOM_LNC034311)
Source: RNAcentral
CCUUUUUGUCGUCACCGGCGGUGGUGAGGACGGCGGGUUCCUAGAAGUGGGUUUGAUGGGUGAAAAAUUUGCUGCGAUGGAGGUGGAGGUGGAAGUGGGUCGCGAAGGGCCGCGGAGCCUGUGAAGGAGGUUUGGAGAGGAAAAAAAGGAGGAUCGUGGCGCAGCCUCGGUGGGGUCGGAGGCGAGAAGAGCUGGGGGUGAGCGGGCGCGGGCGAGGGCGCAUACGGCGGAGGCAAGGAGGGGUGUCCCAAAGGGUGGCGGCGAGCGCAGCCUUAGUGGGGUCGAAGGCGAGGAGGGCGAGUGGUGUGCAAACGCGGGUGAGGGCGCGGGGGUUAGAGGCGAGGCUGGCCGUCGCCG